AUGCAGGUUGCAUAUGGAAGAAAGGUGAAGAAAUUGAACCAAGCUUACCUCUGAAAUUUUGGCAGCAGGGCGAUGAAUGCAGAUUUCUCCUGGGUGAAUUCCCUUGUGAAGAUUGGGAGUGAAAAUGGUGUACGUGGGCUGAUAUUGCAUAAUUGAGUGAUGAGUGGUGGGAAAAAUGAUGAGCGGUGGGGGAAAGUGGUGGGGAAAAGUGAUGGUAGUGGUGUAGAGAAGUGGGGAACAAAAAUUAAUGGAAAGAAAAAGAAAGAAAAAAAAUGUAGAGAAGAAUUAAUGAUGUAUUUUCUAUGUCUCGGUGAUUCUGUAACUGUAAUAAAAUACUGGCUUCGAUUCUGCUUGAUACUGUAUUUACAUAAAUCUCGAUUUCGAC
RNAcentral lists this long non-coding RNA (385 nucleotides) under Salvia miltiorrhiza (redroot sage). Its description in RNAcentral is "long non-coding RNA (SMIL_LNC012604)". The record is from RNAcentral. Lineage: Eukaryota; Viridiplantae; Streptophyta; Magnoliopsida; Lamiales; Lamiaceae.